RNAcentral lists this small RNA (54 nucleotides) under Caenorhabditis elegans. RNAcentral describes it as "Unclassified non-coding RNA E01F3.3". The record is from RNAcentral. Lineage: Eukaryota; Metazoa; Nematoda; Chromadorea; Rhabditida; Rhabditidae.
AGUGACUUUUCUAUUCAUAUCCAAUUUCAUUUCUCUCCCCUUCUUUAGCUUUUU